ACGGCAACAUAGGCACUUAUUUGAAUUCUGAAUAUAGUAAGUGCUGAUUGUUGUUGUGU
This is a microRNA precursor of Astatotilapia calliptera (eastern happy), 59 nucleotides long. The record is from Ensembl. NCBI's taxonomy places the organism in Eukaryota, Metazoa, Chordata, Actinopteri, Cichliformes, Cichlidae.